GUGCUCGCUUCAGCAGCACAUACGCUAAAAUUGGAAUGAUACAGAGAAGAUUAGCAUGGCCCUUGUGCAAGAAUGAUAUGCAAAUUUGUGAAGCAUUCCAUAUUUUU
This is a non-coding RNA of Pteropus alecto (black flying fox), 107 nucleotides long. NCBI's taxonomy places the organism in Eukaryota, Metazoa, Chordata, Mammalia, Chiroptera, Pteropodidae. The record is from Rfam.